CGCCCUAGUUCUGACCGUAAACUAUGCCAUCUAGCGAUCCGAUGGGGUAUUGUUGCCUUGUCGAGGAGCUUCCCGGAAACNAAAGUCUUUCGGUUCCUGGGGUAGUAUGGUUGCAAAGCUGAAACUUAAAGAAAUUGACGGAAUGGCACCACCAGGAGUGGAGCCUGCGGCUUAAUUUGACUCAACACGGGAAAACUCACCCGGCCCGGACACCGUAAGGAUUGACAGAUUGAAAGCUCUUUCUCGAUUUGGUGGUUGGUGGUGCAUGGCCGUUCUUAGUUGGUGGAGCGAUUUGUCUGGUUUAUUCCGAUAACGAGCGAGACUCUAGCCUGCUAAAUAGUGGCUGGAUUUUUACGUCCAGUCUACUUCUUAGAGGGAUAAGCGGUGUUUAGCCGCACGAGAUUGAGCGAUAACAGGUCUGUGAUGCCCUUAGAUGUCCGGGGCUGCACGCGCGCUACAAUGGAAGAAUCAGCUGGCCUAUCCAUUGCCGAAAGGCAUUGGUAAACCGUUGAAACUCUUCCGUGACCGGGAUAGGGAAUUGUAAUUAUUUCCCUUGAACGAGGAAUUCCUAGUAAGUGUGAGUCAUCAGCUCACGCUGAUUACGUCCCUGCCAUUUGUACACACCGCCCGUCGCUGUCCGGGACUGAGCUGUCUCGAGAGGACUGCGGACUGCUGUCGCGAGGCCUUCGGGUCGCGUUAUGGCGGGAAACAGUUCAAUCGCAAUGGCUUGAACCGGGUAAAAGUCGUAACAAGGUAUCUGUAGGUGAACCUGCAGAUGGAUCAUCG
This 786-nucleotide ribosomal RNA is filed under the name Necator sp. HH-2015. RNAcentral's name for it is "SSU rRNA". It matches the Rfam family "Eukaryotic small subunit ribosomal RNA", at positions 1016 to 1831 of the family's 1831-position model. The record is from RNAcentral. Lineage: Eukaryota; Metazoa; Nematoda; Chromadorea; Rhabditida; Ancylostomatidae.